Acanthochromis polyacanthus (spiny chromis) is the source of this 276-nucleotide long non-coding RNA. RefSeq lists it as uncharacterized. The record is from RefSeq and is a predicted model, not a curated record. The transcript is spliced from 2 exons. Lineage: Eukaryota; Metazoa; Chordata; Actinopteri; Pomacentridae.
UGACGGUCUGUUGUAGAUCAGACUAUUGCCUGGUGUAUGUAGGUGACGGUCUGUUGUAGAUCAGACUAUUGCCUGGUGUAUGUAGGUGACGGUCUGUUGUAGAUCAGACUAUUGCCUGGUGUAUGUAGGUGACGGUCUGUUGUAGAUCAGACUAUUGCCUGGUGUAUGUAGGUGACGGUCUGUUGUAGAUCAGACUAUUGCCUGGUGUAUGUAGGUGACGGUCUGUUGUAGAUCAGACUAUUGCCUGGUGUAUGUAGGUGACGGUCUGUUGUAGAU